RNAcentral lists this long non-coding RNA (399 nucleotides) under Phoenix dactylifera (date palm). RNAcentral describes it as "long non-coding RNA (PDAC_LNC000504)". Lineage: Eukaryota; Viridiplantae; Streptophyta; Magnoliopsida; Arecales; Arecaceae. The record is from RNAcentral.
GUUUUCAAGAAAUAAAAGUACAAAUGCAAUUUAUAUAAAUUAAAAAAUAGAAUUAAAGUGAAUUUAUCUAUCCACCGAAUCACAAGCCUUGGAGUCAUUAGCCAAAAGGAGUGCAUUUCAACAUCGUAUGAUGGGAUCGAAUCAUGUGUGAUUGAAAUGAACUAAGUGUCCACCAAUUGAAUGGUUCAGAUGCGCUCAGGACUGAGAUAAUUAAUUCAAAGAGCUGUAUGGUAGAGACCGUAGGGUACAGCGCUCGCUUUUAGACAGCAAGAAAACAAAAUGCGUGUUGAUUAGAUACUGUAUUAAGAAACCGACCAGAAAUAACGUGGGAAGUUGCCGGAUGACGUUGAUUUGCCUCAGGUUACGCAUAUGAUGCGAUGAGACCAUGCAGCCAUUUUG